GGAUAUGAGGGCAAUCUGGCUGUGACAUCUGUCACCUCACGGACUGCAGGGCCCAUUCAGCUCGUCUGACCUGCUAGGCGGGUGUCCUCUUCCUGCCUCACCGCUUCAUGUGCAUCCCUCCCAAAACUGUGUGCUCAGCCGAAGAGAAUGACUUCUCCAAUAAAGGAGGAGCUUUCUGCAGAAAAGGGUAUAUGAGUAACUGCACUCCCCUUCUAGAACCUCCAUACAAGCUCUCAAGGAAGAAGGCAAAGGCAACUUGGGUUUUUUAAAUGGAAAUACAAAUAUAAUUUUAAAAUUAU
This is an unclassified non-coding RNA of Marmota marmota marmota (Alpine marmot), 299 nucleotides long. Its record names the gene 7SK. It matches the Rfam family "7SK RNA". Rfam says of the family: 7SK was discovered as an abundant small nuclear RNA in the mid-70s but a possible function has only recently been suggested. Two independent studies have found that 7SK RNA binds the CDK9/cyclin T complex (known as elongation factor P-TEFb). P-TEFb activates transcription by phosphorylating the C-terminal domain of RNA polymerase II. The record is from Ensembl. Lineage: Eukaryota; Metazoa; Chordata; Mammalia; Rodentia; Sciuridae.